UUCGCCUGUUUUAUCAAAAACAUGGUUUUUUGGUAUUUAGAUAAAAAAUCAGGCCUGCCCACUGAAUUUUUUAAAGGGCUGCAGUAUUUUGACUGUACAAAGGUAGCAUAAUCAUUAGUCUUUUAAUUGUAGACUGGUAUGAAAGGUUAGACGGAAAUAAGCUGUUUCAAAUAUAAUUAAUGAAAUUUAUUUUUAAGGAAAAGAGCUUAAAUAUAGUAAGGGGACGAGAAGACCCUAUUAAAUUUAAUUAAUAUUUAUUUAUAAUUUUGUUUAUAUAGAAAAAUUAAAUGUAUAUUAAUUUUACUGGGGCGGUAAGUAACAAACUUUAUUAUUAUUUAAUAUUAUAAGUAGCGGGGUAUUUGAUCCGAAGGGUUUGAUAAUAAGAUAAAAUUACUGUAGGGAUAACAGCGUAAUAUUUUUUGAGAGUUCUUAUUGACAAAAAUGUUUGCGACCUCGAUGUUGGAUUAAGAAAUCUUUUUGGUGUAGUAGUUUAAAAGAAGGUCGUCGACCUUAAUCC
RNAcentral lists this ribosomal RNA (517 nucleotides) under unidentified. RNAcentral describes it as "Agaricogonopus acrotrifoliolatus partial large subunit ribosomal RNA". It matches the Rfam family "Archaeal large subunit ribosomal RNA", at positions 1887 to 2664 of the family's 2987-position model. The record is from RNAcentral.